RNAcentral lists this ribosomal RNA (1527 nucleotides) under Pseudomonas sp. MWU12-2534b. RNAcentral's name for it is "bacterial LSU rRNA". It matches the Rfam family "Bacterial large subunit ribosomal RNA", at positions 1 to 1565 of the family's 2925-position model. The record is from RNAcentral. Lineage: Bacteria; Pseudomonadati; Pseudomonadota; Gammaproteobacteria; Pseudomonadales; Pseudomonadaceae.
GUUAUAGGGUCAAGCGAACAAGUGCAUGUGGUGGAUGCCUUGGCGAUCACAGGCGAUGAAGGACGCGGUAGCCUGCGAAAAGCUACGGGGAGCUGGCAAACGAGCUUUGAUCCGUAGAUGUCCGAAUGGGGAAACCCACUCCUUUUGGAGUAUCCAUGGCUGAAUACAUAGGCCAUGUGAAGCGAACGCGGUGAACUGAAACAUCUAAGUAACCGCAGGAAAAGAAAUCAACCGAGAUUCCCAAAGUAGUGGCGAGCGAAAUGGGAUGAGCCUUGCACUCUUUAUUUGUAUUGUUAGCCGAACGCUCUGGAAAGUGCGGCCAUAGCAGGUGAUAGCCCUGUAGGCGAAAACAGUAUGAAAGAACUAGGUGUGCGACAAGUAGGGCGGGACACGUGAAAUCCUGUCUGAAGAUGGGGGGACCAUCCUCCAAGGCUAAAUACUCGUGAUCGACCGAUAGUGAACCAGUACCGUGAGGGAAAGGCGAAAAGAACCCCGGGAGGGGAGUGAAAUAGAACCUGAAACCGGAUGCAUACAAACAGUGGGAGCGGACUUGUUCCGUGACUGCGUACCUUUUGUAUAAUGGGUCAGCGACUUACGUUCAGUAGCAAGCUUAACCGAAUAGGGGAGGCGUAGGGAAACCGAGUCCGAAUAGGGCGCUUUAGUUGCUGGGCGUAGACCCGAAACCGAGUGAUCUAUCCAUGGCCAGGAUGAAGGUGCGGUAACACGCACUGGAGGUCCGAACCCACUAGUGUUGCAAAACUAGGGGAUGAGCUGUGGAUAGGGGUGAAAGGCUAAACAAACUCGGAGAUAGCUGGUUCUCCCCGAAAACUAUUUAGGUAGUGCCUCAUGUAUCACUUCCGGGGGUAAAGCACUGUUAUGGCUAGGGGGUCAUUGCGAUUUACCAAACCAUGGCAAACUCUGAAUACCGGAAAGUGCAAUCAUGGUAGACAGACGGUGGGUGCUAACGUCCAUCGUCAAGAGGGAAACAACCCAGACCGCCAGCUAAGGUCCCAAAUGAUCAGUUAAGUGGUAAACGAAGUGGGAAGGCCCAGACAGCCAGGAUGUUGGCUUAGAAGCAGCCAUCAUUUAAAGAAAGCGUAAUAGCUCACUGGUCGAGUCGUCCUGCGCGGAAGAUGUAACGGGGCUCAAACUGAUAACCGAAGCUGCGGAUUUGCACGUAAGUGCAGAUGGUAGGGGAGCGUUCUGUAGGUCUGUGAAGGUGUCUCGUAAGGGAUGCUGGAGAUAUCAGAAGUGCGAAUGCUGACAUGAGUAGCGAUAAAGCGGGUGAAAAGCCCGCUCGCCGAAAGCCCAAGGUUUCCUACGCAACGUUCAUCGGCGUAGGGUGAGUCGGCCCCUAAGGCGAGGCUGAAAAGCGUAGUCGAUGGGAAACGGGUUAAAAUUCCCGUACUUUUGUGUAGUGCGAUGUGGGGACGGAGAAGGUUAGGUCAUCAGACUGUUGGAAUAGUCUGUUUAAGCCGGUAGGUGUGAGGGGUAGGCAAAUCCGCCCUUCUUUAACACCGAGACGUG